Molecule: ribosomal RNA, 1477 nt
Filed under: uncultured bacterium
Lineage: Bacteria
Description: bacterial SSU rRNA
Rfam family: Bacterial small subunit ribosomal RNA
Source: RNAcentral
GAUUGAACGCUGGCGGCAGGCCUAACACAUGCAAGUCGAGCGGUAGCACAGAGAGCUUGCUCUCGGGUGACGAGCGGCGGACGGGUGAGUAAUGUCUGGGAAACUGCCUGAUGGAGGGGGAUAACUACUGGAAACGGUAGCUAAUACCGCAUAACGUCGCAAGACCAAAGUGGGGGACCUUCGGGCCUCAUGCCAUCAGAUGUGCCCAGAUGGGAUUAGCUAGUAGGUGGGGUAACGGCUCACCUAGGCGACGAUCCCUAGCUGGUCUGAGAGGAUGACCAGCCACACUGGAACUGAGACACGGUCCAGACUCCUACGGGAGGCAGCAGUGGGGAAUAUUGCACAAUGGGCGCAAGCCUGAUGCAGCCAUGCCGCGUGUGUGAAGAAGGCCUUCGGGUUGUAAAGCACUUUCAGCGGGGAGGAAGGCGUUAAGGUUAAUAACCUUGGCGAUUGACGUUACCCGCAGAAGAAGCACCGGCUAACUCCGUGCCAGCAGCCGCGGUAAUACGGAGGGUGCAAGCGUUAAUCGGAAUUACUGGGCGUAAAGCGCACGCAGGCGGUCUGUCAAGUCGGAUGUGAAAUCCCCGGGCUCAACCUGGGAACUGCAUUCGAAACUGGCAGGCUAGAGUCUCGUAGAGGGGGGUAGAAUUCCAGGUGUAGCGGUGAAAUGCGUAGAGAUCUGGAGGAAUACCGGUGGCGAAGGCGGCCCCCUGGACAAAGACUGACGCUCAGGUGCGAAAGCGUGGGGAGCAAACAGGAUUAGAUACCCUGGUAGUCCACGCCGUAAACGAUGUCGAUUUGGAGGUUGUGCCCUUGAGGCGUGGCUUCCGGAGCUAACGCGUUAAAUCGACCGCCUGGGGAGUACGGCCGCAAGGUUAAAACUCAAAUGAAUUGACGGGGGCCCGCACAAGCGGUGGAGCAUGUGGUUUAAUUCGAUGCAACGCGAAGAACCUUACCUGGUCUUGACAUCCACAGAACUUUCCAGAGAUGGAUUGGUGCCUUCGGGAACUGUGAGACAGGUGCUGCAUGGCUGUCGUCAGCUCGUGUUGUGAAAUGUUGGGUUAAGUCCCGCAACGAGCGCAACCCUUAUCCUUUGUUGCCAGCGGUUCGGCCGGGAACUCAAAGGAGACUGCCAGUGAUAAACUGGAGGAAGGUGGGGAUGACGUCAAGUCAUCAUGGCCCUUACGACCAGGGCUACACACGUGCUACAAUGGCAUAUACAAAGAGAAGCGACCUCGCGAGAGCAAGCGGACCUCAUAAAGUAUGUCGUAGUCCGGAUUGGAGUCUGCAACUCGACUCCAUGAAGUCGGAAUCGUUAGUAAUCGUAGAUCAGAAUGCUACGGUGAAUACGUUCCCGGGCCUUGUACACACCGCCCGUCACACCAUGGGAGUGGGUUGCAAAAGAAGUAGGUAGCUUAACCUUCGGGAGGGCGCUUACCACUUUGUGAUUCAUGACUGGGGUGAAGUCGUAACAAGG